UACUGGGCGUAAAGCGCACGCAGGCGGUUUGUUAAGUCAGAUGUGAAAUCCCCGCGCUUAACGUGGGAACUGCAUUUGAAACUGGCAAGCUAGAGUCUUGUAGAGGGGGGUAGAAUUCCAGGUGUAGCGGUGAAAUGCGUAGAGAUCUGGAGGAAUACCGGUGGCGAAGGCGGCCCCCUGGACAAAGACUGACGCUCAGGUGCGAAAGCGUGGGGAGCAAACAGGAUUAGAUACCCUGGUAGUCCACGCUGUAAACGAUGUCGACUUGGAGGUUGUGCCCUUGAGGCGUGGCUUCCGGAGCUAACGCGUUAAGUCGACCGCCUGGGGAGUACGGCCGCAAGGUUAAAACUCAAAUGAAUUGACGGGGGCCCGCACAAGCGGUAAUCGAA
Molecule: ribosomal RNA, 389 nt
Filed under: uncultured bacterium
Lineage: Bacteria
Description: bacterial SSU rRNA
Rfam family: Bacterial small subunit ribosomal RNA
Source: RNAcentral